RNAcentral lists this ribosomal RNA (465 nucleotides) under Vreelandella stevensii. RNAcentral describes it as "partial 16S ribosomal RNA". It matches the Rfam family "Bacterial small subunit ribosomal RNA", at positions 338 to 795 of the family's 1533-position model. Lineage: Bacteria; Pseudomonadati; Pseudomonadota; Gammaproteobacteria; Oceanospirillales; Halomonadaceae. The record is from RNAcentral.
CCUACGGGAGGCUGCAGUGGGGAAUAUUGGACAAUGGGGGCAACCCUGAUCCAGCCAUGCCGCGUGUGUGAAGAAGGCCCUCGGGUUGUAAAGCACUUUCAGUGAGGAAGAACGCCUGGUGGUUAAUACCCAUCAGGAAAGACAUCACUCACAGAAGAAGCACCGGCUAACUCCGUGCCAGCAGCCGCGGUAAUACGGAGGGUGCGAGCGUUAAUCGGAAUUACUGGGCGUAAAGCGCGCGUAGGUGGCUUGAUAAGCCUGUUGUGAAAGCCCCGGGCUCAACCUGGGAACGGCGUCCGGAACUGUCAAGCUAGAGUGCAGGAGAGGAAGGUAGAAUUCCCGGUGUAGCGGUGAAAUGCGUAGAGAUCGGGAGGAAUACCAGUGGCGAAGGCGGCCUUCUGGACUGACACUGACACUGAGGUGCGAAAGCGUGGGUAGCAAACAGGAUUAGAUACCCUAGUAGUC